GGGCUCUUAAAAGGAUUCUAAGAUAGUACACAUACUAGAGGGGGAAGAACUUAUUGACUAAAGAGUAAAGUGAGAGUGUAGGACACGAGUUGGAAAGGUCCACUAGAGACUGUUUUGAAAGCAAUUAGUAAUGCAACAGAGGUUGUUUGAAAAGAGGUGGGAGCGGUAAAAAAUCAAGCACUUCAGGAUAGGAUCACACACAAAAUCCAAAUGAAUUCAGUAGUCACCCAGGGGUCAAAGGGUUUGGGGAUAAACAGACAUUGGACUUCAAAUAUAUAACCCCAGCAAGGGUCUUAGGACUGGUUUAGACAUGCUCAGAGAUAAUUGACACUAGCAUAAUCACAAACCAAUCAGGAGAAACAUAAACACAUAGAGAGGAAUAGGGAUUUAGGAUUCAUAAGAUGUUAAGUAC
This 412-nucleotide long non-coding RNA is filed under the name Nicotiana benthamiana. RNAcentral's name for it is "long non-coding RNA (NBEN_LNC031452)". The record is from RNAcentral. Lineage: Eukaryota; Viridiplantae; Streptophyta; Magnoliopsida; Solanales; Solanaceae.